AUACGGAGGGUGCAAGCGUUAAUCGGAAUUACUGGGCGUAAAGCGUGCGUAGGUGGUUUGUUAAGUUAGAUGUGAAAGCCCCGGGCUCAACCUGGGAACUGCAUUUGAAACUGGCAUACUAGAGUAUAGGAGAGGAAAGUGGAAUUUCAGGUGUAGCGGUGAAAUGCGUAGAUAUCUGAAGGAACAUCAAUGGCGAAGGCAGCUUUCUGGACUAGUACUGACACUGAGGUACGAAAGCGUGGGUAGCAAACAGGAUUAGAAACCCCAGUAGUCC
Molecule: ribosomal RNA, 274 nt
Filed under: uncultured bacterium
Lineage: Bacteria
Description: partial 16S ribosomal RNA
Rfam family: Bacterial small subunit ribosomal RNA
Source: RNAcentral